CCUACGGGUGGCAGCAGUGGGGAAUAUUGCACAAUGGGGGAAACCCUGAUGCAGCGACGCCGCGUGAAGGAAGACGUAUUUCGGUAUGUAAACUUCUAUCAGUAGGGAAGUAAAUGACGGUACCUGACUAUGAAGCCCCGUCUAAAAACGUGCCAGCAGCCGCGGUAAUACGGAGGGGGCAAGCGUUAUCCGGAUUUACUGGGCGUAAAGGGAGCGUAGGCGGGGUGGCAAGUCAGAAGUGAAAGCCCGGGGCUCAACUCCGGGACUGCAUUUGAAACUGUGUGGCUAGAUUUCAGGAGAGGUAAGUGGAAUUCGUGGUGUAGCGGUGAAAUGCGUAGAUAUUAGGAAGAACACCGAUGGCGAAGGCAGCUUACUGAACUGUCAAUGACGCUGAGGCUCGAAAGCGUGGGGAGCAAACAGGAUUAGAUACCCGAGUAGUC
RNAcentral lists this ribosomal RNA (440 nucleotides) under uncultured bacterium. RNAcentral describes it as "partial 16S ribosomal RNA". It matches the Rfam family "Bacterial small subunit ribosomal RNA", at positions 338 to 795 of the family's 1533-position model. The record is from RNAcentral.